UGGGUUAGUGUCUGGCGGCAGGCUGU
This 26-nucleotide non-coding RNA is filed under the name Mus musculus (house mouse). Lineage: Eukaryota; Metazoa; Chordata; Mammalia; Rodentia; Muridae. The record is from RNAcentral.